Molecule: transfer RNA, 82 nt
Rfam family: tRNA
About the family: Transfer RNA (tRNA) molecules are approximately 80 nucleotides in length. Their secondary structure includes four short double-helical elements and three loops (D, anti-codon, and T loops). Further hydrogen bonds mediate the characteristic L-shaped molecular structure. tRNAs have two regions of fundamental functional importance: the anti-codon, which is responsible for specific mRNA codon recognition, and the 3' end, to which the tRNAs corresponding amino acid is attached (by aminoacyl-tRNA synthetases). tRNAs cope with the degeneracy of the genetic code in two manners: having more than one tRNA (with a specific anti-codon) for a particular amino acid; and 'wobble' base-pairing, i.e. permitting non-standard base-pairing at the 3rd anti-codon position.
GGGCCUGUAGUCUAGUGGUAGGACUGAAAACUAAAGCCGCUCUCACGCAGCGGAAACCCCGGUUCGAUUCCGGGCAGGCCCA